This is a non-coding RNA of Dermacentor andersoni, 258 nucleotides long. The record is from RefSeq and is a predicted model, not a curated record. NCBI's taxonomy places the organism in Eukaryota, Metazoa, Arthropoda, Arachnida, Ixodida, Ixodidae.
CGCGAUGUGGCGUCGCCGUGUCCGACUUUGCUUAACGGACAUCGAGGGAUGUGCUGCUCGCUGCAAGUCAUGCACCUUUUCUACUUGAAGCUUCCAUUGCAGUGUUUUGAACAUCAUUGAACCAGCACAUAGUGUAUAUAAAUAUUGGACACUGAUUGGGAACAUCACCUAAGUUCAUGCCUAUAUAUAGUAAAAAGAUGUAGCACGACCAGACAAAAUAAAAGAAGGGGGUGGGCUGUAGCAAUACUAAGUGUUAAA